RNAcentral lists this long non-coding RNA (1143 nucleotides) under Coturnix japonica (Japanese quail). RNAcentral describes it as "lncRNA (ENSCJPG00005002584.1)". The record is from RNAcentral. Lineage: Eukaryota; Metazoa; Chordata; Aves; Galliformes; Phasianidae.
AAGGGGAUGGGGAGGGGGUGUGGGGUCAGGAAUGGGGAUGGGAUAUGGGGUCAGGAAUGGGGAGGGGAUGAGAUAUGGGGUCAGGGAUGGGGGCCUGGGGGUCUCUUUGGGGUCUUGGGGUCUCCUGGGGUCCAGGUUGGGAGGGGGGUCUUGGGGGUCUGGGGUCUCCUGGAGGUCUGGGGGAGUCUCUCUGGGGUCUCUUUGGGUUCACUUUAGAGUUUGGGGGUCACUUUGGGGUCCCUUUGGGGUCUGGGGAUCUCUCUGGGGUCUCUUUGGGUUCCUUUUGAGGUCUCUUUGGGGUCCCUUUAUGGUCCCUUUGGGGUCUCUUUGGGGUCUUUUUGGGGUCUGAGGGUUACUUUAGGGUCCCUUUGUGGUCUCUCUGGGGACCCUUUGGGGUCUGGGGAUCUCUCUGGAGUCUUUAUGGGGUCACUUUAGGGUCUGGGGGUUACUUUAGGGUCCCUUUAUGGUCCCUUUGGGGUCCCUUUGGGGUCUUUGGGGUCCCUUUGGGGUCCCUUUUGGGGUCUCUGGGAUCACUUUGGGGUCCCUUUGGGGUCUCUUUGGGGUCCCUUUGGGGUCCCUUUGGGGUCACUUUAGGGUCCCUAUGUGAUCCCUUUGGGGUCCCUUUGGGGUCUGGGGGUCACUUUAUGGUCCCUUUGUGGUCCCUUUGGGGUCUCUUUGGGGUCCCUUUGGGGUCUCUUUGGGGUCUCUGGGGUCUCUUUGGGGUCCCUUUUGGGGUCUCUGGGGUCCCUUUAGGGUCCCUUUGGGGCCCCUUUGGGGUCUCUUUGGGGUCCCUUUGGGGUCUCUGGGGUCACUUUAGGGUCCCUUUGGGGUCUCUCUGGGGUCCCUUUGGGGUCUCUGGGGUCCCUUUGGGGUCCCUUUGGGGUCUCUUUGGGGUCUCUGGGGUUCAUUUGGGGUCCCUUUAUGGUCCCUUUGGGGUCCCUUUAGGGUCUGGGGGUCCCUUUAUGGUCCCUUUGGGGUCUCUUUGGGGUCCCUUUGGGGUCUCUGGGGGGUCCCUCACCCACAGCCCUGCAGCCCCUCCCGUCGGGUUCAGCCUCGUAUCCCUGCGCACACUCGCACUUGAACGCCCCCUGCAGGUUGAUGCAGCGCUGCGCACAGCGCUCCCACUCCCAGCACUCGUCGAUG